Molecule: unclassified non-coding RNA, 185 nt
Filed under: soil metagenome
Description: partial internal transcribed spacer 1
Source: RNAcentral
CAGAGUUGCAAAACUCCCACAACCAUCGCGAAUCUUACCCGUACGGUUGCCUCGGCGCUGGCGGUCCGGAAGGCCCUCGGGCCCCCGGAUCCUCGGGUCUCCCGCUCGCGGGAGGCUGCCCGCCGGAGUGCCGAAACCAAACUCUUGAUAUUUAUGUCUCUCUGAGUAAACUUUUAAAUAAGUCA